CCUACGGGUGGCAGCAGUGGGGAAUAUUGGGCAAUGGGCGCAAGCCUGACCCAGCAAUGCCGCGUGAAGGAAGAAGGCUUUCGGGUUGUAAACUUCUUUGACAGGGGAAGAGCAGAAGACGGUACCCUGAAAACAAGCCACGGCUAACUACGUGCCAGCAGCCGCGGUAAUACGUAGGUGGCAAGCGUUGUCCGGAUUUACUGGGUGUAAAGGGCGUGUAGCCGGGAAGGCAAGUCAGAUGUGAAAUCCGGAGGCUCAACCUCCGAAUUGCAUUUGAAACUGUUUUUCUUGAGUAUCGGAGAGGUAAUCGGAAUUCCUAGUGUAGCGGUGAAAUGCGUAGAUAUUAGGAAGAACACCAGUGGCGAAGGCGGAUUACGGGACGACAACUGACGGUGAGGCGCGAAAGCGUGGGGAGCAAACAGGAUUAGAUACCCCGGUAGUC
This 442-nucleotide ribosomal RNA is filed under the name uncultured bacterium. RNAcentral's name for it is "partial 16S ribosomal RNA". It matches the Rfam family "Bacterial small subunit ribosomal RNA", at positions 338 to 795 of the family's 1533-position model. The record is from RNAcentral.